GACGAACGCUGGCGGCGUGCUUAACACAUGCAAGUCGAACGGAAAGGCCCUGCUAUUGUGGGGUGCUCGAGUGGCGAACGGGGGCGUAACACGUGAGUAACCUGCCCUUGACUUUGGGAUAACUUCAGGAAACUGGGGCUAAUACCGGAUAGGAGCUCCUGCUGCAUGGUGGGGGUUGGAAAGUUUCGGCGGUUGGGGAUGGACUCGCGGCUUAUCAGCUUGUUGGUGGGGUAGUGGCUUACCAAGGCUUUGACGGAUAGCCGGCCUGAGAGGGUGACCGGCCACAUUGGGACUGAGAGACGGCCCAGACUCCUACGGGAGGCAGCAGUGGGGAAUAUUGCACAAUGGGCGGAAGCCUGAUGCAGCAACGCCGCGUGCGGGAUGACGGCCUUCGGGUUGUAAACCGCUUUCGCCUGUGACGAAGCGUGAGUGACGGUAAUGGGUAAAGAAGCACCGGCUAACUACGUG
Molecule: ribosomal RNA, 468 nt
Filed under: uncultured bacterium
Lineage: Bacteria
Description: partial 16S ribosomal RNA
Rfam family: Bacterial small subunit ribosomal RNA
Source: RNAcentral